GCUGGAACCAGCUUUUCUUUUUGCUGAAACUUGCUACAUCGACUUCUUCAUUUGGUGGGGAUGGGUGGUGUUUUUGCUACAACCGGCAACUACAAAAGUUACAUCUACAACCGGCAACUACAAAAGUUACAUCCGGCGAGCGGUUUUUGUACGACCAGCAAUGAGGAUGAGUACUUCCUUUUUGCUAGCUCAUUGUCAGCAUGCUGCGACCGGCGACCGGCGCCACCGGAGCUGCGGUCGUCGCCACAGGGAGCUGCAGCCACGGGCGCACGCUGCUGCAUGCAUGUAGCGAGAAACGCAAGAGGUGGCUACGAUGGCGACCUGCAGGGACGAGGACGACCGGCGGCGAGGGCAGCGACUAGCGAGAUGUGCCAGGCAGUGCUUCAAGGCCGGGUGCGUCGCUAGUCCAUGGCUACCUGAUGGAAGCUUGUUUUUUCCAAAGAAAAAAAUACAUUGACAGAGAAAGGAGAGAGAAUCGUGUGGCUACCCGAUGUUUGAUCGGACGCUGCUGGUGCGACCGGCCCAAAUUUCGGCGGGCGCACCGGCGCGUGUGACUCGCCAAACUCUAACCCACACUGCGGGGACAUGAGCGCAGCCGACGAGCGGGACCAGGGGAACACCGGCCCACCCGUCAUAGAGUAAAAAUGACCGAAGGGAGUACGACACAAGCGUGGGCGUGAAAACCAGGUGCAUGUGCGUCCGCCAACCCUUCAGCAGCGUUGCGCAGUCCUCGCACGACGCACGCCACAGUCAGCGCGCAACGACCCAUGCGACGCGCCAGGGGCGGUCUACCCGAGAAUUUCUAACCCAGCCAAUGGAAGAACUGGGCGAGCCCACCAGUCAUCAUAGCCCACGCUCGAUCACUGGGUCAAAAUAGAAAGUAAAAAACGUGCGGCCAACAAGGCGCGUUGACCCGACCAAGCGAGAUCAAACGGCCAUGACAAUGUGAAAUCGGUGGAUCGCUCGGGAGGGCGGGUCGUCCCGGAACCUUAUAUGUUAGAAUAUAAUAUAAUUAAUUAUCAAAAGCACACUAACUGAUUUCUUCUUUCAUAUUUUAUAAUCUGUUAAUUGUAGAUAUUGCUGGUGUAGUCAUGUACGUGGGCCCAGUUGACUAUGAUACAUAUUCCCCUCUAUGCAUGAGGGAAGUAGCACUGAUCGAUGCUGCCAUGCGAAUUAUCUUCCUACACAUUUUUGAAGAACUAGUUGAACGCCAUUGGAAUGAACUUCUUUCUGCUGAAGCAAAUGUUGGCUUAAUCAUGGCAACCUCGAUGAAGGUUCAUCAACUAUCCAGUGUGCAUGAUCAAGUUCGUGAUGACUUGUCUUUCCGUGAUGCUAUCAAGAAUGAAGUUCUUCUUAGGAAGGAUGCCCGCAAACAAGACGAUGUGGAUAACUCACUUGUCCCCAAGAUAACCGCGACUGAAGUAGACUUUUGCUCUGGUCAAUCUUCCCCCGUGAAGCAAAAUUUCAAAUAUAUAAGGGGUGAUGAGCGUCCACCAAUCAACGUCAACAAGAAGGAUCAAUUGGACUAGGCAUAAAGGUCUCAAAUAAAUAAGAAGUGUGAAACUAAAGAAUUUCAAGCCCUUGGAUUCCUAGCCUUUUCUUUCGGUUGUUGAAUUUUGAGUUUUGCUUAAUGACUUGUUUGAUGA
RNA transcript from Triticum aestivum (bread wheat), 1646 nucleotides. RefSeq lists it as uncharacterized. The transcript is spliced from 3 exons. NCBI's taxonomy places the organism in Eukaryota, Viridiplantae, Streptophyta, Magnoliopsida, Poales, Poaceae. The record is from RefSeq and is a predicted model, not a curated record.